GCGAACUCCAGGCGUUUGGUUCCCCACCUGCCAAGGAGCGGGGACGUUCCGAGCGCACCGUACUGCAACAGCUCCUCCCUACUAUAACAGAUAAUACACUACUGCCACUAAGUCCUGGUGGUGGCGGAAAUGGAUGUGGUGCCAAUCAAGUGGGCUGCGUUGUCCUGGACAGUGUCAAGCUUGAACCAGUUGUUGGACCUGCACCCACCCAAUGUAUUUCUGUGACUGGAUCCGUUUAGCGUAGCUCUGAGCCAUGGAGUUAACGAUGGAAAGAAUGAAGUAGCACACCAUGACGAUGACUACUUUUUCAAAGAUCCAGGACAGCCAAUUUUCAUUCUAACGGAGUUAGGAUGAAGGUUGGGGAGGAAAGAGAAAAAAACAUAAAACAGUAUUUAUUAAGAAUUGUUUAAUCUGGAAUCAAUUGCAGACUGUUACCAUCUUAAUAAGAUCAAUAUGCAGGAUUACUAACAGCCCCAAAAGACUUUUUCUUUGAAAAUUAAAGAAUUGAAGAAUACGCAAGUGUGUCAAGCUCCACACAUUGAUUUGUUAUUGUCAGAUACAGAAUUGUUUGGAGCAGGGUGGGUGAGAGAAUUGAAGAUCCUUGCACAGACCAAACAUUCAUUUAGGAGAAAUAAAGCAGGGGAAAUAUACUACUUUUCAAAUUAAAUGGCAAAACCCAAACUUUAUAAAUGUAACAUAACAAGUGGCAUGAAAAAUAAAAUCCUCUGCACACUUGCACAUUACAUAACCAUAUCCAAAUACAAUAAUUUCAAAUUCCAAUAAUUUCAUUUAAUAUUUUAAUCGAGAGACUGAUUGUUUGCCACAGAUUAAAAAUGAACAGCACCUAUGGUUGUUAAAUAUUAGCUACAAAUCUAGCAGGCUCUUGGACAAAUCGAACUCAAGAAUAGAGACAGAAACUGGAAGUUAAUUACUGCCAUCAAUGGCAUAUAAUUAUAUCAAUCUUUAGUGAUAAACUUCUAAUUUCUCAUCAUAAUUUUAUUUAGUUGCCUAGUACAAUAUAUUUUCAUUUUCAGGACUGUAACAAAGCAGUUAUUGUUUUGUAGUCCACAGUAAAAGGUUGGUCAAAGAUAUUUAAUGCUUUGGAUGUAUUUGUGAAGUGGCCAACCAAUGAUGACCUAUUGGUCAGUAUUGAAAAUUUGUUUGUCUUUAGACCUUCAGACAAGGGCUUUUGGAAGCCAGUGCAGCCAUCGGAAGCCAGAUUCUCAUUGCCUUUACGGAUCAGGAAUUAUGAGGCUAUUAAAAGACAGCGGGCUAAAAUCCAACAAAAGUAUCAAUACAAUUGGGGAUCCUCAUCAGAAGGGAACAGAUGGGAAUAUAGUUCACCAUCUCUUUCAGGCAUGUACGUAACACUUCUUCCCACUGGUCAGUUUAGCCUAUGUUGAUAUUGCCAAGGUGCUCACUAAUAUGCCUACAGAGCUGCUCCAUCUGGAGAUUUGAGUUAGCACAGCAAGCCAGAAAGGUGUGAAUCAAAAAGCAAGAAAAUCAUUCAACAGCUCAAUUAGACCAACACAGACACUGCUGCCUCCAGUUCUCCCAUAUUCAUCUGGCAACAGGAUUGCUAUUUAGCUUCAAUAAAUGCUACUGCUUUAAGAGUCUGAUUUAGAUAUUUCGCAUCUAUGUCAGUGUUGAAACAACGGCACUGAGCCAAACCAAAGUAUAUUUGUUAAUAUGUAAGUUGAAGCUUGUCUGAUAGGGGUUUAAUAAAGAUGAUAAAGUGUUUGUGCAUUGUGAAAUAGUUUGCCAGAUUCUGGAAAAUAUUCUUUUUUUAAGAGGAAGGGUAAUGUAGAUGCUGAAGUGUUUUUUUUCUUAUGUAUGAUUUCAGCAAGGGGACAUGCGUGAAUUUUAACAAGCACUUAGUGUUCCUUUCCAUUGGGUCAUCAGAAGAUUCAAAUUACCAGUAUUUGAAGGCUAAACAGCUGCAAAUUAUUUUUAAAUGUGGGGAAAAAGAAUGAUUAAAACUAUUAAUUAAGAAACUGCGGAGGUGAAAACUGAUCCUUCCAGUUUGACACUCCGACAAUCAAGGGUCAAAGAACAAAAUCCAAAAAUACUGUAACAUCAGCUUUCACAAAGCGUGUGAACUGAGUUGAAAAUCUUGUUUCUAUGACAGCAAGUCACAAAUAGCUGUUCCAUUGGGAGGAAGUACCGGUUUUUUUAAAAAGUUGCACUAGUAUUGAGUUUGGUGACUUUACAUCCACGUCAUCACUAUUGUAUCCCACACACCACGUUUUUUUUUUCGAUUCGAGGGGAAGGUGGUGGAAAUUGUAGUUUAAAUAUCUUUCUCGACAUGUUUGGAGAGAAUUAAAAAUAAAGUAAAAUUACUACAAAGGCUUUUAAAUUAUAUUGUACUGAAUUAAAAAGAUAUCACAUUCUAACU
This is a long non-coding RNA of Stegostoma tigrinum, 2395 nucleotides long. RefSeq lists it as uncharacterized. The record is from RefSeq and is a predicted model, not a curated record. The transcript is spliced from 3 exons. Lineage: Eukaryota; Metazoa; Chordata; Chondrichthyes; Orectolobiformes; Stegostomatidae.